GUGGGGAAUCUUAGACAAUGGGGGAAACCCUGAUCUAGCCAUGCCGCGUGAGCGAUGAAGGCCUUAGGGUUGUAAAGCUCUUUCAGCUGGGAAGAUAAUGACGGUACCAGCAGAAGAAGCCCCGGCUAACUCCGUGCCAGCAGCCGCGGUAAUACGGAGGGGGCUAGCGUUGUUCGGAAUUACUGGGCGUAAAGCGCGCGUAGGCGGACCAGAAAGUUGGAGGUGAAAUUCCAGGGCUCAACCUUGGAACUGCCUUCAAAACUCCUGGUCUGGAGUUCGGGAGAGGUGAGUGGAAUGCCGAGUGUAGAGGUGAAAUUCGUAGAUAUUCGGAGGAACACCAGUGGCGAAGGCGGCUCACUGGCUCGAUACUGACGCUGAGGUGCGAAAGCGUGGGGAGCAAACAGGAUUAGAUACCCGUGUAGUCC
This 425-nucleotide ribosomal RNA is filed under the name uncultured bacterium. RNAcentral describes it as "partial 16S ribosomal RNA". It matches the Rfam family "Bacterial small subunit ribosomal RNA", at positions 354 to 796 of the family's 1533-position model. The record is from RNAcentral.